This 515-nucleotide ribosomal RNA is filed under the name uncultured bacterium. RNAcentral's name for it is "partial 16S ribosomal RNA". It matches the Rfam family "Bacterial small subunit ribosomal RNA", at positions 28 to 523 of the family's 1533-position model. The record is from RNAcentral.
GAUGAACGCUGGCGGCGUGCCUAAUACAUGCAAGUCGAGCGAAUGGAUUGAGAGCUUGCUCUUAUGAAGUUAGCGGCGGACGGGUGAGUAACACGUGGGUAACCUGCCCAUAAGACUAGGAUAACUCCGGGAAACCGGGGCUAAUACCGGAUAACAUUUUGAACCGCAUGGUUCGAAAGUGAAAGGCGGCUUCGGCUGUCACUUAUGGAUGGACCCGCGUCGCAUUAGCUAGUUGGUGAGGUAACGGCUCACCAAGGCAACGAUGCGUAGCCGACCUGAGAGGGUGAUCGGCCACACUGGGACUGAGACACGGCCCAGACUCCUACGGGAGGCAGCAGUAGGGAAUCUUCCGCAAUGGACGAAAGUCUGACGGAGCAACGCCGCGUGAGUGAUGAAGGCUUUCGGGUCGUAAAACUCUGUUGUUAGGGAAGAACAAGUGCUAGUUGAAUAAGCUGGCACCUUGACGGUACCUAACCAGAAAGCCACGGCUAACUACGUGCCAGCAGCCGCCGUAA